RNAcentral lists this ribosomal RNA (117 nucleotides) under Peptacetobacter hiranonis. The record is from RNAcentral. Lineage: Bacteria; Bacillati; Bacillota; Clostridia; Peptostreptococcales; Peptostreptococcaceae.
UGUGGUUAUUAUAGAAGAGAGGAUACACCUGUUCCCAUUCCGAACACAGAAGUUAAGCUCUCUAUCGCUGAGAGUACUUGGGGCGAAGGCCCCUGGGAGAGUAGGACGUAGCCACGU